ACCUGAACAUACCCAGUCAUGUCUAAUCUCAGAAGGUGAGAUGGAUCAUGUGUAUUUGAAUGGGAGACCACUUGGAAAUACCAGGGGUUGCAGGCA
Molecule: ribosomal RNA, 96 nt
Filed under: Notamacropus eugenii (tammar wallaby)
Lineage: Eukaryota; Metazoa; Chordata; Mammalia; Diprotodontia; Macropodidae
Source: RNAcentral